This 169-nucleotide long non-coding RNA is filed under the name Zonotrichia albicollis (white-throated sparrow). RNAcentral's name for it is "lncRNA (ENSZALG00000013665.1)". Lineage: Eukaryota; Metazoa; Chordata; Aves; Passeriformes; Passerellidae. The record is from RNAcentral.
AACUCAUGUAAUAUAUUGAAUAUAUUUUUUACAUAUAUAUUCAUUUUAUCUAAUCUGACUUUGCAGUGUUGCCUUUGACUGUUUCAAGUACAGAAAGGGGAGGCUGGGGAAAGGAAGGCUUCAUUUCAACCCCUGUCUUCUCACUGUGCCUGCACAUUUUACAAGAGGU